Molecule: ribosomal RNA, 272 nt
Filed under: uncultured bacterium
Lineage: Bacteria
Description: partial 16S ribosomal RNA
Rfam family: Bacterial small subunit ribosomal RNA
Source: RNAcentral
UACGUAGGGUGCAAGCGUUAAUCGGAAUUACUGGGCGUAAAGCGUGCGCAGGCGGUUUUGUAGACACGAGUGUGAAAGCCCCGGGCUUAACCUGGGAACUGCGUUUGUAACUGUGGGACUUGAGUGCGGCAGAGGGGGGUAGAAUUCCACGUGUAGCAGUGAAAUGCGUAGAGAUGUGGAGGAAUACCGAUGGCGAAGGCAGCCCCCUGGGUUAGUACUGACGCUCAUGCACGAAAGCGUGGGGAGCAAACAGGAUUAGAUACCCUUGUAGU